This 71-nucleotide small RNA is filed under the name Chlorocebus sabaeus (green monkey). RNAcentral's name for it is "Bacillus-plasmid RNA". It matches the Rfam family "Bacillus-plasmid RNA". Lineage: Eukaryota; Metazoa; Chordata; Mammalia; Primates; Cercopithecidae. The record is from Rfam by way of RNAcentral.
AUUGUCAAGGGUAUCUGUCCAACUACUCUUAUGCAUAGUAGGCAUGAUAAGGACUUGACAAUACUUAAAUA